Molecule: ribosomal RNA, 96 nt
Filed under: Caerostris darwini
Lineage: Eukaryota; Metazoa; Arthropoda; Arachnida; Araneae; Araneidae
Source: RNAcentral
UGAAUAUACCGGUUCUCGUUAGAUCACCGAAGUCAAGCAUCAUUGGGCGCGGUCAGUACUUGGGUGGGUGACCAUCUGGGAACACUGCGUGCCGUU